This 149-nucleotide unclassified non-coding RNA is filed under the name soil metagenome. RNAcentral's name for it is "partial internal transcribed spacer 1". The record is from RNAcentral.
CCGAGUUUACAACUCCCAAACCCCUGUGAACAUACCACUUGUUGCCUCGGCGGAUCAGCCCGCUCCCGGUAAAAACGGGACGGCCCGCCAGAGGACCCCUAAACUCUGUUUUCUAUAUGUAACUUCUGAGUAAAACCAUAAAUAAAUCA